UCUCUGAUGGUCUAUUGGUUAGGAUUCAGUGCUUUCACGGCUUUGGCCUGGGUUCAAUCCCUGGUCUGGGAA
Non-coding RNA from Sus scrofa (pig), 72 nucleotides. The record is from Rfam. NCBI's taxonomy places the organism in Eukaryota, Metazoa, Chordata, Mammalia, Artiodactyla, Suidae.